GGGUUGUGAGGUUAAGCGACUAAGCGUACACGGUGGAUGCCCUGGCAGUCAGAGGCGAUGAAGGACGUGCUAAUCUGCGAUAAGCGCCGGUAAGGUGAUAUGAACCGUUAUAACCGGCGAUUUCCGAAUGGGGAAACCCAGUGUGACUCGUCACACUAUCAUUAACUGAAUCCAUAGGUUAAUGAGGCGAACCGGGGGAACUGAAACAUCUAAGUACCCCGAGGAAAAGAAAUCAACCGAGAUUCCCCCAGUAGCGGCGAGCGAACGGGGAGGAGCCCAGAGCCUGAAUCAGCAUGUGUGUUAGUGGAAGCGUCUGGAAAGGCGCGCGAUACAGGGUGACAGCCCCGUACACAAAAGCGCAUGUGUUGUGAGCUCGAUGAGUAGGGCGGGACACGUGGUAUCCUGUCUGAAUAUGGGGGGACCAUCCUCCAAGGCUAAAUACUCCUGACUGACCGAUAGUGAACCAGUACCGUGAGGGAAAGGCGAAAAGAACCCCGGCGAGGGGAGUGAAAAAGAACCUGAAACCGUGUACGUACAAGCAGUGGGAGCCCCACCACUAAGCCAGUGGUGAACUCCACAUACGCAUCCUUUGCUGAAGGUGCGGUUAACGGAGCGCAAGCGACGUUCAACCUCAAAAGAAGCAGAGGGGGCUUAGUGGUGGGGUGACUGCGUACCUUUUGUAUAAUGGGUCAGCGACUUAUAUUCUGUAGCAAGGUUAACCGCAUAGGGGAGCCGGAGGGAAACCGAGUCUUAAUUGGGCGUUAAGUUGCAGGGUAUAGACCCGAAACCCGGUGAUCUAGCCAUGGGCAGGUUGAAGGUUGGGUAACACUAACUGGAGGACCGAACCGACUAAUGUUGAAAAAUUAGCGGAUGACCUGUGGCUGGGGGUGAAAGGCCAAUCAAACCGGGAGAUAGCUGGUUCUCCCCGAAAGCUAUUUAGGUAGCGCCUCGUGAAUUCAUCUCCGGGGGUAGAGCACUGUUUCGGCUAGGGGGCCAUCCCGGCUUACCAACCCGAUGCAAACUGCGAAUACCGGAGAAUGUUAUCACGGGAGACACACGGCGGGUGCUAACGUCCGUCGUGAAGAGGGAAACAACCCAGACCGCCAGCUAAGGUCCCAAAGUCAUGGUUAAGUGGGAAACGAUGUGGGAAGGCCCAGACAGCCAGGAUGUUGGCUUAGAAGCAGCCAUCAUUUAAAGAAAGCGUAAUAGCUCACUGGUCGAGUCGGCCUGCGCGGAAGAUGUAACGGGGCUAAACCAUGCACCGAAGCUGCGGCAGCGACGCUGAUGCGUUGUUGGGUAGGGGAGCGUUCUGUAAGCCUGUGAAGGUGGCCUGUGAGGGUUGCUGGAGGUAUCAGAAGUGCGAAUGCUGACAUAAGUAACGAUAAAGCGGGUGAAAAGCCCGCUCGCCGGAAGACCAAGGGUUCCUGUCCAACGUUAAUCGGGGCAGGGUGAGUCGACCCCUAAGGCGAGGCCGAAAGGCGUAGUCGAUGGGAAACGGGUUAAUAUUCCCGUACUUGGUGUUACUGCGAAGGGGGGACGGAGAAGGCUAUGUUGGCCGGGCGACGGUUGUCCCGGUUUAAGCGUGUAGGUGUGUGUUCCAGGUAAAUCCGGUUCACUUUAACACUGAGGCGUGAUGACGAGGCACUACGGUGCUGAAGCAACAAAUGCCCUGCUUCCAGGAAAAGCCUCUAAGCAUCAGGUAACAUCAAAUCGUACCCCAAACCGACACAGGUGGUCAGGUAGAGAAUACCAAGGCGCUUGAGAGAACUCGGGUGAAGGAACUAGGCAAAAUGGUGCCGUAACUUCGGGAGAAGGCACGCUGACACGUAGGUGAAGUGAUUUACUCAUGGAGCUGAAGUCAGUCGAAGAUACCAGCUGGCUGCAACUGUUUAUUAAAAACACAGCACUGUGCAAACACGAAAGUGGACGUAUACGGUGUGACGCCUGCCCGGUGCCGGAAGGUUAAUUGAUGGGGUCAGCGCAAGCGAAGCUCCUGAUCGAAGCCCCGGUAAACGGCGGCCGUAACUAUAACGGUCCUAAGGUAGCGAAAUUCCUUGUCGGGUAAGUUCCGACCUGCACGAAUGGCGUAAUGAUGGCCAGGCUGUCUCCACCCGAGACUCAGUGAAAUUGAACUCGCUGUGAAGAUGCAGUGUACCCGCGGCAAGACGGAAAGACCCCGUGAACCUUUACUAUAGCUUGACACUGAACAUUGAGCCUUGAUGUGUAGGAUAGGUGGGAGGCUUUGAAGUGUGGACGCCAGUCUGCAUGGAGCCGACCUUGAAAUACCACCCUUUAAUGUUUGAUGUUCUAACGUGGACCCGUAAUCCGGGUUGCGGACAGUGUCUGGUGGGUAGUUUGACUGGGGCGGUCUCCUCCUAAAGAGUAACGGAGGAGCACGAAGGUUGGCUAAUCCUGGUCGGACAUCAGGAGGUUAGUGCAAUGGCAUAAGCCAGCUUGACUGCGAGCGUGACGGCGCGAGCAGGUGCGAAAGCAGGUCAUAGUGAUCCGGUGGUUCUGAAUGGAAGGGCCAUCGCUCAACGGAUAAAAGGUACUCCGGGGAUAACAGGCUGAUACCGCCCAAGAGUUCAUAUCGACGGCGGUGUUUGGCACCUCGAUGUCGGCUCAUCACAUCCUGGGGCUGAAGUAGGUCCCAAGGGUAUGGCUGUUCGCCAUUUAAAGUGGUACGCGAGCUGGGUUUAGAACGUCGUGAGACAGUUCGGUCCCUAUCUGCCGUGGGCGCUGGAGAACUGAGGGGGGCUGCUCCUAGUACGAGAGGACCGGAGUGGACGCAUCACUGGUGUUCGGGUUGUCAUGCCAAUGGCACUGCCCGGUAGCUAAAUGCGGAAGAGAUAAGUGCUGAAAGCAUCUAAGCACGAAACUUGCCCCGAGAUGAGUUCUCCCUGAGACUUUAGGUCUCCUGAAGGAACGUUGAAGACGACGACGUUGAUAGGCCGGGUGUGUAAGCGCAGCGAUGCGUUGAGCUAACCGGUACUAAUGAACCGUGAGGCUUAACCUUACAACGCCGAAG
Molecule: ribosomal RNA, 3028 nt
Filed under: Salmonella enterica subsp. enterica serovar Kentucky
Lineage: Bacteria; Pseudomonadati; Pseudomonadota; Gammaproteobacteria; Enterobacterales; Enterobacteriaceae
Description: 23S ribosomal RNA
Rfam family: Bacterial large subunit ribosomal RNA
Source: RNAcentral